AUGAAUCCAGUGCAGCUGCCGGUCCUCCUCCUCCUCAUGAUAUUGAGUGCGCCGGCAGCUAGCCGCCAGGCCACGGCGAGCCCCCCACCGGACCCGGUGCAGUGCUCGUCUGGUGAUGGCAAAGCUGACUGCACAGUCUCAAGCGCGUACGGCGUGUUCCCGGACCGGUCGACGUGCCGCGCCAGCGCCGUGCUGUACCCUUCCUCCGAGGAGGAGCUGGUGCGCGCGGUGGCGAACGCCACGGCCACCAAGACCAAGAUGAAGGUGACCACCAGAUACUCCCACAGCAUGCCGAAGCUUGCAUGCCCCGGCGCCGGCGAUGGCCGGGGCCUCGCCAUAAGCACCAGGUGGCUUAACCGCGUCGUGGGCGUGGAUGCGCCGCGGAUGGAGAUGACGGUGGAGAGCGGCAUCACGCUGCGGGAGCUCAUCGCGGCGGCUGCCGACGGCGAGCUCGCGCUGCCCUACUCGCCGUACUGGUGGGGCCUGACGGUCGGCGGCAUGCUCGGCACGGGCGCGCAUGGCAGCUCGCUCUGGGGGAAAGGCAGCGCCAUCCACGAGUACGUCGUUCGGAUGCGCAUUGUCACGCCCGCUCCGGCCGCCGACGGGUACGCCACGGUGCGAGUGCUCACGUCCGCCGACCCGGAGAUGGACGCCGCGAAGGUCUCGCUCGGCGUCCUUGGUGUCAUCUCGCAGGUGACCCUAGCGCUACAACCUCUGUUCAAGCGCACAACUACGUUCAUCGAGCGGGACGACGAUGACCUCGCGGAGCGGGUUCCCGAGUUCGGUUACGAGCACGAAUUCGCUGACAUCACCUGGUACCCGGGUCUAGGGCGAGCGGUGUACCGCAUGGAUGACAGGCUGCCCAUGAACGCUUCUGGUGAGGGUGUCUUCGACUUCAUUGGCUUCCGCCCCACCUCGACCCUGCUGAUUGGAGCUAACCGACUGGCUGAGGAGCUGUCGGAGCAGGCGGACGACGGCAAUAGUAAGUGCCUGACGUCGAGGGUGAUCCGCACAACGCUCUCGGCGGCUGGGUACGGCCUAGCACGGAGGAGAGGCUGGCCGUUCACGGGGUAUCCGGUGAUAGGGCGGCAAGACCGGAUGCAGGCGUCGGGUGGCUGCUUGACAGCGCCAGAGGACGGACUCAGGACGACCUGCCCCUGGGACCCCCGCGUGAGGGGCACCGGCUUCUUCCACCAGACCGCCUUCAGCAUGCCCGUGAGCCGCGCCAGGGCAUUCAUCGAGGAGGUCCGACAGCUGCAUGACCUAAAUCCGGAGUCUCUCUGCGGCAUCGACCUCUACAACGGCAUCCUAAUGCGCUAUGUCAAGUCAUCCACCGCGUACCUCGGUAAGUCGGCAGUGCGCGGGGAGUCGGCCGACAUGGUGGAGUUCGACAUGACCUACUACCGCAGCCGCGACCCAAGGAGGGCGCGCCUCUACGAGGACGUCCUUGAGGAGAUCGAGCAGAUAGGGAUAUUCAAGUACGGCGGGCUGCCGCACUGGGGAAAGAAUCGCAAUAUCGCUUUUGUCGGCGCGUCUCGCAAAUACCCCAAAAUGCACGAGUUCCUGCUUGUCAAGGACGCCUACGACCCGCAUGGCCUCUUCUCCAGCGAUUGGAGUGACAUGAUGCUCGGCAUUGUUGGUGACACACCGACGAAUAUCGCACCUGGGUGCGCGCUAGAAGGAAUGUGCGUGUGCUCGCAGGACGUGCACUGCGCGCCGGAACAAGGCUACGUCUGCCGGCCCGGUAAGGUCCACAUGAAUGCCAGAGUCUGCACCAAAGUGUAG
Molecule: ribosomal RNA, 1785 nt
Filed under: Triticum aestivum (bread wheat)
Lineage: Eukaryota; Viridiplantae; Streptophyta; Magnoliopsida; Poales; Poaceae
Description: partial small subunit ribosomal RNA
Source: RNAcentral